UGCCCUACGGGGCGCAGCAGUGAGGAAUAUUGGUCAAUGGGCGGGAGCCUGAGCCAGCCAAGUCGCGUGAGGGAAGACGGUCCUAUGGAUUGUAAACCUCUUUAGGCGGGGAGCAAUGCCGGGCACGCGUGCCCGGAGGGAGAGUACCCGCAGAAUAAGCAUCGGCUAACUCCGUGCCAGCAGCCGCGGUAAUACGGAGGAUGCGAGCGUUAUCCGGAUUUAUUGGGUUUAAAGGGUGCGUAGGCGGACGCUUAAGUCAGCGGUAAAAUUGCGGGGCUCAACCUCGUCGA
Molecule: ribosomal RNA, 290 nt
Filed under: uncultured bacterium
Lineage: Bacteria
Description: partial 16S ribosomal RNA
Rfam family: Bacterial small subunit ribosomal RNA
Source: RNAcentral